RNAcentral lists this transfer RNA (72 nucleotides) under Camelus bactrianus (Bactrian camel). It matches the Rfam family "tRNA". Rfam says of the family: Transfer RNA (tRNA) molecules are approximately 80 nucleotides in length. Their secondary structure includes four short double-helical elements and three loops (D, anti-codon, and T loops). Lineage: Eukaryota; Metazoa; Chordata; Mammalia; Artiodactyla; Camelidae. RNAcentral also lists the same sequence under 3 other names. The record is from Rfam by way of RNAcentral.
GGGAAUACAGCUCAGUGGUAGAGCUCAUGCUUAGCAUGCACCAGGUCCUGGGUUCAAUCCCCAGUACCUCUG